Molecule: long non-coding RNA, 2252 nt
Filed under: Urocitellus parryii (Arctic ground squirrel)
Lineage: Eukaryota; Metazoa; Chordata; Mammalia; Rodentia; Sciuridae
Description: lncRNA (ENSUPAG00010004548.1)
Source: RNAcentral
CUUCUACCCGAACCCCCCCUCCCCCCCCAAGCAGAGAGACCCCAGCAGCAGCAGCAGCUGAUGAUGAAGAGAGAGGCAGUGGCAGAGGGGGGGCACCUUUUAUUUCUAUUUUUAAAGGGACAGGACACUAAUUUUACCCCACUUCAACCUUGAAUUGAGGGGGGUGGGGGGAAGGCGGCUGAGUUCCUUCCCCCACCCUCCAGCCCGGAGCCCUGAGAGGGGGAUUGAGCCUGAGAGAGAAGGAGAAGGAGUUUCUUCCUCUUCGAAAACCUCCAUCCACGACUCCUACCCCCUCACCCCUCCACUCGCUUCCCUCCCGAGCCCCCUCCACCCUCCUUCUCUUUGGCCGUGAGAGGAGGAGAGAAAGAGACCAAAAGCCUCUUAGCAACACAGACCCUUUGCUGUUGCUGCUGCUGCUGCUGUGGCUGCUGCUGUUGCUACUGCUGCUACUGCUGCUUGGCCCUGGCUGGAGACAUCUCACUACACCCAGGAGCAGCCACUUCCCCAGCUCUCCUCCUCCUCCUUCGCCUCCUCCUCCUUCACUCCCCCCCUUUAUUACCCUUUGUGUCAUCCUCCACAGCUCCAGGGAAGGCACUCAAAAGUGGGGGGCAGGAAAGACAAUUAUCAACUUGCCAGUUUUCUAUGGAUAUGAAGAUUUACUCCUAGUCUUCAAUGGGACCCCAUGAAGUCAGCCAGAAAGCCUUUGUCCAACUUAUGUACCUUUGCAAACUUGUCUGGAUUUUGAAUGUAUGUGCAAAACAGAUUGUACUUAGCUAUUCAUUAAACAUCUAUGKAGCAUCUGCUGUCUGUCAGGCACUGUGCUAGGCAUGUGAACAAACAAGAAUGGUCCCUGCAAUUUAAUGUAAAGAGAUUUCUUAAUUGUAUUCCACAAGUGUAUUGGUCAUAUAUUUACUUUGGUUUACCUAAAUGAAUUUUAUAUUAACUAAAUGAAUAUUGUUAGGUAGAAUAAUGCAUGUUUAAGAAGGAUAUUGCUGUAUUUUAUUAAUAUAGAAAAGAUAAAUUUUUUUUCACUUAAUUCUGUAUUCUACGGAUUUCUAUUCUGUUUAUAGUUCAUUCAUUUAACACAAUGAAAAUAGUGUAUGUGACAACCAUUGCUGGAUUUUUAUUGCUAAGUAUAAUUAUUUUUUUGAAGAUGACCAAAUUAAUGAAGAUGACUUCAUUAAUUUCCCUCUCCUUACUAAAAAUAGACAAAAUAUUCAAAUUCUCCAAACUUAUUUUUUUCCCCAAAUACUUUUUUCUAUCUACAUCUCUUAUAACUGGAUAUCUUUCAUGCUUAUUAGGAAAUCAUUGUGUAAUAUCAUUCUGAGUUUUUAGACAUUUCUACCAAAUUUCAAGCAAACCUAACGAUAURAUUUCAUUAUUAUCCAGUGAUUAAUAUCUACUUUUUAUUAGUUUUAGAAUUUUAGCAUAUGCUGGAUAUAUUAUUUCAAGAUCUUUGUGAGAAACUUCCCAGUUUUAAUUCUAAAACACUUAUUAUAUUUAAUCUUGCUUCUAAAGCUCUAGUUAAGAAAGUUGGAAGUUUCUGAAAUAUAAGGGAGUUUCAAAGCCAAAAACGUCCUAUCUCAGUAUCUUUUGUAGCUUUCAUAUGUGACUGAAAAGUAUUAGAGGUUAAAAACUGCAUUCACUUCACCUUCCUUAAUGUAGUUUUAGAAUAUUGUUGAUUCAGUAUUGGAAAAAAUCAAGGGACUUAACUCUGCUGGUACACAUCUCAAGAAGAUAAAUAGACUCCUGAAUGGUAAAUUCUGGUAUCUUCCACUAAGCCAUGUAUGCCCCCAUCCCUUUUUAAAAAGAAAAAAAAAAUUYAUUUAGAGACAGGGUCUCACUGAGUUGCUUAGGGCCUCACUAAGUUGCUGAGACUGGCUUUGAACUCGUGAUGCUCCUGCCUCAGCCUCCCAAGCUGCUGGGAUUACAGGCAGGCAUCACCGUGUCCAGCUUAUAUUUAUUCUUAAAUUUCUAUCUUAGUAAUAAUCAUAACUUUCAUUUAUUUUCACUGUGCAGCACUGUUAAUUCGAUUUUUGUCAUUUCUUAUAGUUUUCCUUGUGAACUUUGCUUAAUUCUGGUUACAAAUGAGGAAACUAAUUACUAACCAAACAUCAUUUUAUCAUUUUGUAGCACCAAAAUAUUUAUAUUAGACUUCAGACACAUUCUAAUUCAAAACACACUCAGGAUAAAGAAUUUUUGUCAGUCUAUACUUCAAUAAAGCAUUACUAAAAUCAUGGCUCUGAUAGCUU